Molecule: ribosomal RNA, 949 nt
Filed under: Russula sp.
Lineage: Eukaryota; Fungi; Basidiomycota; Agaricomycetes; Russulales; Russulaceae
Description: partial 28S large subunit ribosomal RNA
Rfam family: Eukaryotic large subunit ribosomal RNA
Source: RNAcentral
AACAUAUCAAUAAGCGGAGGAAAAGAAACUAACAAGGAUUCCCCUAGUAACUGCGAGUGAAGCGGGAAAAGCUCAAAUUUAAAAUCUGGUGGUCUUUGGCCAUCCGAGUUGUAAUUUAGAGAAGCGUCUUCCGCGCUGGACCGUGCACAAGUCUCCUGGAAUGGAGCGUCACAGAGGGUGAGAAUCCCGUCUUUGGCACGGACACACCAGGGCUUUUGUGAUGCGCUCUCGAAGAGUCGAGUUGUUUGGGAAUGCAGCUCAAAAUGGGUGGUGAACUCCAUCUAAAGCUAAAUAUUGGCGAGAGACCGAUAGCGAACAAGUACCGUGAGGGAAAGAUGAAAAGCACUUUGGAAAGAGAGUGAAACAGUACGUGAAAUUGUUGAAAGGGAAACGCUUGAAGUCAGUCGCGUCGACCGAGACUCAGCCUUGCCUUGGCUCGGUGUACUUCUCGGCCGACGGGUCAGCAUCAAUUUUGCCCCUUGGAUAAUGGCGAGGGAAAUGUGACACCUUUAUGGUGUGUUAUAGUCUCUCGUCGCAUGCAAGGGUUGGGAUUGAGGAACUCAGCACGCGCCUUUGGGUGUCGGGGCUUUGCCCACGAUACGUGCUUAGGAUGUUGGCGUAAUGGCUUUAAACGACCCGUCUUGAAACACGGACCAAGGAGUCUAACAUGCCUGCGAGUGUUCGGGUGGAAAACCCGUGCGCGCAAUGAAAGUGAAAGUCGGGACCUCUGUCGUGGAGGGCACCGACGCCCGGACCAGACCUUCUGUGACGGCUCUGCGGUAGAGCAUGCAUGUUAGGACCCGAAAGAUGGUGAACUAUGCCUGAAUAGGGUGAAGCCAGAGGAAACUCUGGUGGAGGCUCGUAGCGAUUCUGACGUGCAAAUCGAUCGUCAAAUUUGGGUAUAGGGGCGAAAGACUAAUCGAACCAUCUAGUAGCUGGUUCCUGCCGA